Long non-coding RNA from Homo sapiens (human), 3029 nucleotides. RefSeq lists it as uncharacterized. The transcript has 3 exons. The record is from RefSeq and is a predicted model, not a curated record. Lineage: Eukaryota; Metazoa; Chordata; Mammalia; Primates; Hominidae.
GACACAAACGCCCAGCUGCCCCCAGUUCAGUGCCACAGAGAAAAGCCUUGCAGAACAGGUUGAGUUUGUGGAUGGGCAUGGGGUAGAAGGUAUCAUCUCUUCUCUAUCAAUGACUUGGGUGAUACUUCUGGCAACAAAACAGACAGUUCUCGGCCUCUGUGUUUUCAUUGUCCAACUGAAGAUUAGACAAGAGGCAGCAUGGGGUGGUGGAUAAAUCGUGGACCAGGAUUGAAGCGAAGAUCUGCUCAUCUGGGACACUCACCAGUCGUCCUCAGGUUCUGAAGAGAACUCACCGGUUGUAGAGUCUGUGUUAAUCACCCAGCAUUAAUAUUUCCAUUGCUCCAUCAUCAUGUGUAAGCCUGUCAACAGCGUUCUUCUCCAGAAGUAAACUUGCUCAACCUUUAGUUUCACAUCAGUGAAGGUGGAUUCUUUCACCAAGAUGGACUUGUUUGUUCUCAGGAAAUCCAUACAGCCCUCGAUGAAGAGUUCAGAAACUCUUUUUAUGCAUUAAAAGCACCUACACAAUUUGAUGGUUUAAUACAACAAGUUUUUCCUCAUAAUUCUGUGGGUCAGCAGUUUGGGCUGGGAUCAGCUGGGCUGUUCCUCUGUUGGUUUUCCUGAGGACACUCGUGACUGCUGUCAUCAGGCAGUUCCACUGGGGCUGAGUGAUCCAACAUGACUCACUUACAUGCCUGGCUAUGGGUGACAGCUCUUCUCCGGACCUUACUCCCCACAAGCUUUCUCAUCCUCCAGCCAGCUGGACUGGACUUUUCCACACAGUGUUCUCAGGGUCUCAAGAGAGCGAGAGCAGAAGCUGCCAGGCCACUUGAGGUCCAGACUUGGAACUAACACCAUCACUUCUACUGCAAUUUAUUGUUCAAAGCAGGACAUUAAGCACCCCUAUUCAAGGGGGUAGAGAAAUAGACUCUACCUCUUGAUGGGGGAAGCAAAGGCACCUGAAAACAGAAGUGGGAGAAAUCUGUGACCGUUUUUUGCAGUCUUUCACAAGGAGAAAAUAAUCUUACCUGGACAAAGAAGAGGCUUCACCCCAGUGUUCUUUCAACUUUAACAUGAACAUGAAUCACCUUAGGAACUUGUUACAAUGCAGGUUCUGAUUCAGUUGGUCUGGUGUGGGACUGAAGGUAUUUCUAACAAGCUCUCAGGUGAUGCUGAUGCAGCUGGUUCACAGAGUACAGUUGGUGAACCAAGGUUCUAAUCACUGACAUGGGGUAAGUCCAUUCCCUUUUCUCUACUAAGUGGGGCGAGUGCUGGCCUGCCCAAUAAUGUACUGGUUCUUCCAAGGGUAGAGAGCCACCCAGCCUAUGCCUAUAAUUUAAGAUAUGCUGCCAGUGAACUCAGUUAAUGCAGUAUGUACAUUAUAGGUCUACUUUAAGAACCACAGUGGCCUGACACGGAUCACAUACCUGCUGGAAUUACUUGAUUCUCUGUUAGCUCUGUGUCUGUGUUUUCCAGUGUGGUUUUGUGACCACACUGGGAAAGAUCCACAAAUGUCAAUAUUAAAAUGUUCACUUUGACUUUAAAAAAUGCCAUCAUUGCUUUCUAUAGGAUUUUAAAAUUAGAUUUUAAAUAGUUUCACAUUUCAAGCAUUAUUAUAACAGAUUGCUUAGGCCAGAUGGAUGGUUCUCUGAGGUCUUUACCAGAACUGGUAAAGCUUGUCUAAUGGUAUUCAAUCACAACUCUCUCACAUUUUAAUUCCUCUUUCAUCAGAGGCUGUGUGUACCAUCAUGUCAGGAAGGGGCCCAAGCUUGGGGACAGAUACUCAGAUAACAGAAACCUGGGUUAAAAUUUUUAAAGCCUGGGGCUCUGGUCACUAGAAACACAGAGUAUCUUUCUCUUUCUGAUAUGAACUGAUGAUGCAGUUUGUAAUACAGCUAAGGUGAAUGUCCUGAGUGUGUGUCUGUUUCUGGCUGAUGUGGGAGCAAUAAGGCAUUUAUACACAAGAUUGGCCAAUAAUUAUAGCUGUUCAUUUGUUUUUGUUUUUUUUUUGAUGUCACCAAGCCAUUCUAUUUUUGUCCUCCCAAAUCUGAUCACCUGGGGGAAAUUGAGGCAAUGCAUGUAGUUCUUCUUCCGAUAGUAUGGUGCUGCAAAUUUGAAAAAAAUGAUAAGAAACACAGACAUAGAUGAUGGGCCACAAACAUAGUUAUCUUUCUCUCUGAAUGAAAACAAAUAAAAAUCAGGGAUCAGGUCAACACCAAGAGACACUUGUUUGUUUUUAACGGUUGCCCAGUUUCCUUUCAAAAUGGAGGAUUGAAGUAUGAUACAGUUAGAUAAGGAGAAAAAAAAGGUCUAGUUAUAAAUUAAUAGAAUGCUAGCAUUCCAAAGAACCACAGGAAUCAAUGAAUACAAGCCUCUUACUUUACAAAUAGGAAAACUGGGGCCCAGACAGGUGACAUGACUUUCAUGAAGCCAUGAAGCUUGCCCCUGGUCGUCCAAAUUCACUCUAUUGACUCCAACAAAUCAUGAAGGAGAUUUUACACUCUGAAGUUGCUGUCAUGCUAUUGGUCCUGCUUCUAUGAUUUCUUGCACCUUUACUAGAAACUUCUGGUCUUGUAUUUGAGAUUUUCCAAAUCAUUUGUUCAAAAUCAUGAGUCUGAUAAAAACCCUGUUUUCUCCUUAUGGCCUGUUCCAUUCUUCCCUGGAAGUUUCUCAUUUCACACUAUCACAUUUUUAUUAAAGUCAUGCUGACAAAUGAGGGAAAUAAAACCCUUCUGAGGGUUGCUUUCCACCAAACUUUCUCUCUCUUCUGUGCUUUAUUAAAAUAGAAAGGACAAGAAAAAUCUCAUAUUAUACUACUCUGCAGGCUUUCUGGAAUUAUACAUUAAAUUGGCUGCUUCUGUGAGGGUCCAUCAGGGUUCGUGGGGGAGGAAGGGGAAGAAAUUUUGUGUACAAUCCUGGACACUUUUUAUGUACAAGACCAUUUAAUCCUCAUAACAACUUUCCUCUAUUUUACUGGGAAAAAGAAUUGAAGCUCAGAGUAGUUAAAUAGCUUGCCCAAGAUUACACUAUUA